AAGCUGGUCCCAAAUUCCAGUAAGGUACGGAGUUUGAUAUAUAUAUAUAUUUAUGUAUAAAUGUUCUCAUUUCGACACAAAGCCUGCAAAUCUUAUCCCUGCAGCCGUAUGCACUAGCUUAUCAGAUUUGAUUUAUAUUGCAUUAAUUUUAUAGCCACAAUAAUUAUUUCAGUUGCUCAUUCAUCUUUCCAUUUAUUGUGGUACAAACUUGCUCUUCCAUAUUGAAAAGUUGAAUACUGGUCUUUUAUUUUUAUUUUUACUUUCAUUUUUACACUAUUUGUGGUAACUAGAAUUGACUUAAACUUACAGAAUAUUUAUAAUCUGCAAAUAAGUGAACAACACUAGUUGAUAUUACUCUUAUGUUAAUUAAUCUCUUGAUCCCUUGUUAGAAAGUAAAAUAUUUAUAUAUAUUGAAAAGUAUAAUGAUACAGGAGAGCUAACAUCAUCAUAAUAUGCACAAACAAAGCUAUAAAGUAAUAAAAGAAAGAACAAAAGCAAUAGAAGAAAGAGAUAUAUAUCUAUCGUCAUACGAUCCCACUUGAUCAUAAUUGAUUCUAAGUUGUGGACUAAAGAAUCUGCAUAUUUUUUUGGAAUUCCUUAUCCAUAGUAGAUAUAGCUACUUUUCUUUUCUUUUAAUGUACCUAAAGACUUUGUAAAAUGUAAAUAUAAUUAAAUAUUUCUCUAAUAAUAUCGGAUAUAUUCAAUAAUCUAUUGAAAGGUUGGAACAGGAUGGAAAAUUGUAACAAAUAGGAAUCAACGAGUCACUUGCGUAGAGUGGAUGAGUGUCGGCAUCAUCCAGUUUCAAUUAUUCCCAUUUGUAGGGACAAAUUGCCAGCAAGUGAAUUAAGUUGAUGUUGGAGUGUAUAUGGAUUUACUGUUUUAUCAUCAAUUGUAUGUGACAUUAGAAAAGAGAGAAGAAAUGUUACCUUUACCUGUAAAAUUAAUUUGAUAGUACAUACCUACGUAUAUGAUGCUCCCGCGAGUUUUCUCCGUCCAGUUAAAGGUGUCAAAUUAGACUGAAAAUAAAAAAAAGUGGUGAAAUUGGUGGUCAAUUGACCGGCCACUCCAAUGCUCAAAUUAAAGAUGUUAAUUGAAAAUAGUAAUAGUGAAUAGUAAAAAAUUCUGUAGUUAAUUUAAUAGAGUAAACAUAUCUAAUUAAUGUCUAUUUCUCAUAUUUAUAAACUAUAAACUAAGUAAACGUUGUAACUAUCUGUAAGAAUUUCGGAUAUUUAGUUAACAUUCUGAGAUUUCUUUCUAAAGAUCUAACCUUACCAUUGACUGGUAUUGUUGAUACUCAAUAUGGUUGACGUUCAGCCUGUAGGGCAAGCGUUUGAACUUGCUUUGUCAUCACUCAUACCUCACUUGCUCAAUGUUGUUAAUACAAGGCAUGUGAUGAUCAAUCCAACUCCUAAUGAUAUCCUCCCCUUUGAUUGAGCGCUAACAUUUUGAUUCUAACAUUGGAUUUUUUGACCGAAUGUUCAUUAUUUCACUCAACUUUAGGCAGGUAAUAUCAUUAUAGAAUUGCCCUAAUCAUAAAUGCCCAAAUUGGAUAACAAACAAAACUAAGAGUAUGUAUCAUUCGGUUAUAACCGAAUAACUAAAUCGAACUGAUAAAAUUCGAUUAUUUUAGUAAGAAUAAAUUCAAUUUGGUUCGGUUUUUUGUUAUUGGUUCGGUUAUAUUUGAUUUGAUAACAAAACUAACCGAAAU
RNAcentral lists this unclassified non-coding RNA (1708 nucleotides) under Hevea brasiliensis (rubber tree). Lineage: Eukaryota; Viridiplantae; Streptophyta; Magnoliopsida; Malpighiales; Euphorbiaceae. The record is from RNAcentral.